This 376-nucleotide unclassified non-coding RNA is filed under the name soil metagenome. Its description in RNAcentral is "partial contains 5.8S ribosomal RNA, internal transcribed spacer 2, and large subunit ribosomal RNA". The stretch from base 1 to 120 matches the Rfam family "5.8S ribosomal RNA", at positions 35 to 154 of the family's 154-position model. The record is from RNAcentral.
GAUGAAGAACGUAGCGAAAUGCGAUAAGUAGUGUGAAUUGCAGAAUUCCGUGAAUCAUCGAAUCUUUGAACGCAUCUUGCGCUCCUUGGUAUUCUGAGGAGCAUGCCUGUUUGAGUGUCAUUAAAUUCUCAACUACACUGACUUUGAAUUGGUGUGGCUUGGAUUUGGGGGGAAAAUUGUUGUGGGCUUUUUGUAUAGUCUGCUCCCCUGAAAUUGAUUAGCGGUACCUUUGUGGAACUGUCUACAGGUGUGAUAAUUAUCUACAUCUUAGACAUCUGCUGGAAUGCUGCUUUCUAAACCUUACUUGUAUUGACAAUCUUGACCUCAAAUCAGGUAGGACUACCCGCUGAACUUAAGCAUAUCAAUAAGCGGAGGA